AACUUCUCUUUUCUUCCCUCUCCCUCUCUCGUUUCUCUUUCCCCACGAUCUCCAAACCUCGCCUCUCUCGAGUAAACGAAAACCCUAACUCAGUCACAACUAUAACCACCUUUACUUCCAGAACAAACACAGAAGAAUCCCCGAUCUUCUUCUUCUCAUAUAUGGAUGUUUUUGGUAACAAAAUCGACUUCAUCUGAAAUCGCUCAUCUCUUGUGUAAAAAAAUCACUCUUCUCUUUGUCUAAGCUAUCGACUUCAUCUGAAAUCGGUCAAGGGUUUGCUCAAGUCACUGUGUUUUCAUUACUCUUUCUCUAGCAGAUGAAGAUUGAUGAACAAGAUGAAGGAUGCUGGAACUUCUAAAAGAGAACAUGCAGUCAUGGAGAAGAUUAAAGAAGCACACAGGAGAGUGAUGGUGGCUAACCAUCCUCACAAGGGUGGGAGCAUGUAUCUUGCUAAAAAUAUCAACGAGGCUGAGGUACUUUUGAUGGAUGAGGGUCGAUUUCAAUUCUUUCCAUGUGAAGGUAGGACUGAUUGUUGAGCUAGAAGUCAUAGAACAAGUCAAGAUGGUGUUUUAUAAAACAAGAAGAAAAUCAACCAAGAGGGAUCUAGUAAUGGCUUGUCUGAAGAAAUUUCUUUUAAGAUUCUGAAACAGGAAGUUAUAUCCAGAAAUGUACUGGUUGAUGAAUGUUCAAGGCAGGUUGUCGAGGUGGAGCAAGCAACCAUGUGGAAGUUUCUUUGGUGGUCGGGAAUCAUAGCUGUCCAUGUUAUGGUUGGCCAAAGCAUAGAUGAUCACUCGAAACUUUUCUCCAGCACUUCCUCCUCAAGCCUUUGUCUUUUAUUUCCUUCUUGGUUUGCGGGAUGAGUUCAGCUUGUUGAUGUACUUUAUGCUGAGUGUUUGCAUUUGUCUCUUUGUGAAGGAAGGACUCAUGCUGGUUGUUGCAACAAUCUGACAAGAUAUAUGCUGGAGCAUUUUGACAGUGAUUCAGUGAUUCGAAUCACAGGUAACUGAUGCUUCUCUCUUCUGAAAACUUAACUGGAUGCAAUCAUGUUCCAAAGUCAUUGAUUUGGUUUUAUGCAUGGAUUUCUAUUUUGUAAUUUGAUUCUUCACAAGAUAUACGAAGGUGAUGGUUUUCCCGAUGUGUUUGAUUUGUCAUUGUUGUCUCAUGUCAGGGUUCGUAAUCUUAUUAGUACCUUAAAGUUUGUAUAACGUCAGUAGUCUGUUCGGUCUGAACUAACCCAUGAACAUCACCCUAAUAGUAUUGCUCAGCAAAGAACUCUUCGCCCGCUGACCAGAAUCCAUCUCAUUUAUUUUGAUGCUUCUUAUAUAGAAUCUAAUCGUACUAUUAGAAUUGGUAUCAUUCUUCUUGAUAAUGCAGGAAACUUUUGGGGUGCCAAAACAGUCCCAAGCACAACAUGAGAUGCUUAACAUGUUGAAGCCAAGGCUCUUCUUGUAGCCACACUAUGGGUUAACGAGCUGGAACUGCAUUUUACUUCAAAGGGGACUGAAUCAUUCUGAAGAUGUAUGCUAUGCUAUCUAGUGUUCAAAUCACCAUAGUUAACUAUUGCUGUUAUAGUGGUCUCUGUCAAGUUUUCUAGAUUUUUGGUGUAGUUAGUGUCAGAA
Molecule: RNA transcript, 1619 nt
Organism: Papaver somniferum (opium poppy)
Lineage: Eukaryota; Viridiplantae; Streptophyta; Magnoliopsida; Ranunculales; Papaveraceae
Exons: 5
Source: RefSeq, a predicted model, not a curated record